AUUAGCUAGUUGGUAAGGUAACGGCUUACCAAGGCAACGAUGCGUAGCCGACCUGAGAGGGUGAUCGGCCACACUGGAACUGAGACACGGUCCAGACUCCUACGGGAGGCAGCAGUAGGGAAUCUUCCGCAAUGGGCGAAAGCCUGACGGAGCAACGCCGCGUGAGUGAUGAAGGUCUUCGGAUCGUAAAACUCUGUUAUUAGGGAAGAACAAAUGUGUAAGUAACUAUGCACGUCUUGACGG
Molecule: ribosomal RNA, 243 nt
Filed under: Staphylococcus epidermidis
Lineage: Bacteria; Bacillati; Bacillota; Bacilli; Caryophanales; Staphylococcaceae
Description: partial 16S ribosomal RNA
Rfam family: Bacterial small subunit ribosomal RNA
Source: RNAcentral